AAGAAAUAAAGAAAUAGGGGUUCUUCCACUCAUGAAUGGAUGAUGGAAGAUCAAAAAUGAAAGAAAGACCCCUUCUUGGGUUGAAAAACCACCAAUCCUUGGCAUUUGGGUGGGGGCGAAGAACAAAAAAAGCACAAAAAAGAGAAGGACGAGGUUGGUUGGAAAAAGACAACACAAUAGGGCAAAGCAUAUAAUCAGUCAGAUAGAAUUCGAAGCCAGCUGAGCAGGACAA
Molecule: long non-coding RNA, 232 nt
Filed under: Elaeis guineensis (African oil palm)
Lineage: Eukaryota; Viridiplantae; Streptophyta; Magnoliopsida; Arecales; Arecaceae
Description: long non-coding RNA (EGUI_LNC001163)
Source: RNAcentral